Molecule: long non-coding RNA, 1001 nt
Filed under: Homo sapiens (human)
Lineage: Eukaryota; Metazoa; Chordata; Mammalia; Primates; Hominidae
Description: HSALNT0393989
Source: RNAcentral
CUCUUGUUGCCCAGGCUGGAGUGCAAUGGCGCAAUCUUGGCUCAGUGCAAGCUCCGCCUCCCGGGUUCACACCAUUCUCCUGCCUCAGCCUCCUGAGUAGCUGGGACUACAGGCACAUGCCACCGUGCCCGGCUAAUUUUUUGUAUUUUUAGUAGAGACGGGGUUUCACCGUGUUAGCCAGGAUGGUCUCUAUCUCCUGACCUCGUGAUACACCUGCCUCGGCCUCCCAAAGUGCUGGGAUUACAGGCGUGAGCCACCGCGCCCUGCCAGCCAUGAGUGAUGAAAGACAGAUACCAACAAAUGAAAUUAGACUCUCUCUGACUAUCCUCAGAUCAGAAACUCUUGAGUCAACAGGAAAAGACAAGACGAUACUGUAUGAAAGUCUGACCAACAUAAAGGGUGCUACAAGGAUGCCCCCAAGGCUCAGGAUGUUGGAGAGUUGAGGCACCAUGAGUAACCACAAUGCAGAAUGAAGAAUAGUUCUUCUGGUGUGAGGAUCCACUGGGUUGCCACUGACCCAUUGCCUGAGGGUAUGCGAUGAAACCAGAAUCAGCAACUGUAGAUGGCAGCUCAGAAGGGGAAACGACACAUCUAAUAACCAACAGGAAUGGCUAUUAAUUAGCUGAAAUGACAAUAAUUAACAGAAAUGACAAGUCUAAUAAAUUUUCACUUAAGUGUUGUCACAUGGCACUUUGAGUUUUAGCUUUCCAUUUUAAAUAUUAAUCUCGGUGGGGUUUACUUUAGAUGAAGAGUCAUAUCAAGUAUGACUAUGGAAAUAAUUCUGUACAGACACUCCAUCAAAUUAUGUUUAAUCCAUUUCACUUAUGCUAUGAUCAGUAGAGAGUGUAUUAAAAGCUCACAUUGUCACCCUAAAAAUAUAUUCUUUUUGUGUGUAUCUAAUUUAUGCUGCUCAGAAACAUUCAGCCACAGGGAUCAGAGGGAAGGUGGUUGUUUUUAAUUUUCUUUGAUAUCUUCAAAGAUAGGAAAGUCUCACCCCUCUG